AAAAAGGGCCUUUGUCUACAUGGCACUCGGUGUCUCACGACGCUGGGCGGAAUCGCAAUCAAGAGAUUUCGGAGGCACAAUUUUUACAACAGAGGCAGUUGGUGCUCGCUUGGCCUGACGCCUCG
This is a small nuclear RNA of Pomacea canaliculata, 125 nucleotides long. RefSeq annotates it as U11 spliceosomal RNA. Lineage: Eukaryota; Metazoa; Mollusca; Gastropoda; Architaenioglossa; Ampullariidae. The record is from RefSeq and is a predicted model, not a curated record. The transcript has a single exon.